This 253-nucleotide ribosomal RNA is filed under the name uncultured bacterium. RNAcentral's name for it is "partial 16S ribosomal RNA". It matches the Rfam family "Bacterial small subunit ribosomal RNA", at positions 524 to 776 of the family's 1533-position model. The record is from RNAcentral.
UACGAGGGGGGCGAGCGUUGUUCGGAAUUAUUGGGCGUAAAGAGCGCGCAGGCGGUCGUUCAAGUCGCGUGUGAAAGCCCCCGGCUCAACUGGGGAGGGUCACGCGAUACUGAUCGACUCGAAGGCAGGAGAGGGAAGUGGAAUUCCCGGUGUAGUGGUGAAAUGCGUAGAUAUCGGGAGGAACACCAGUGGCGAAGGCGACUUCCUGGCCUGUUCUUGACGCUGAGGCGCGAAAGCUAGGGGAGCAAACGGG